RNAcentral lists this ribosomal RNA (698 nucleotides) under Methylobacterium sp. TO1. RNAcentral's name for it is "bacterial SSU rRNA". It matches the Rfam family "Bacterial small subunit ribosomal RNA", at positions 84 to 818 of the family's 1533-position model. Lineage: Bacteria; Pseudomonadati; Pseudomonadota; Alphaproteobacteria; Hyphomicrobiales; Methylobacteriaceae. The record is from RNAcentral.
CUUCGGGGUCAGCGGCGGACGGGUGAGUAACGCGUGGGAACGUGCCCUUCUGGUUCGGAAUAACCCUGGGAAACUAGGGCUAAUACCGGAUACGCCCUUUUGGGGAAAGGUUUACUGCCGGAAGAUCGGCCCGCGUCUGAUUAGCUAGUUGGUGGGGUAACGGCCUACCAAGGCGACGAUCAGUAGCUGGUCUGAGAGGAUGAUCAGCCACACUGGGACUGAGACACGGCCCAGACUCUACGGGAGGCAGCAGUGGGGAAUAUUGGACAAUGGGCGCAAGCCUGAUCCAGCCAUGCCGCGUGAGUGAUGAAGGCCUUAGGGUUGUAAAGCUCUUUUAUCCGGGACGAUAAUGACGGUACCGGAGGAAUAAGCCCCGGCUAACUUCGUGCCAGCAGCCGCGGUAAUACGAAGGGGGCUAGCGUUGCUCGGAAUCACUGGGCGUAAAGGGCGCGUAGGCGGCGUUUUAAGUCGGGGGUGAAAGCCUGUGGCUCAACCACAGAAUGGCCUUCGAUACUGGGACGCUUGAGUAUGGUAGAGGUUGGUGGAACUGCGAGUGUAGAGGUGAAAUUCGUAGAUAUUCGCAAGAACACCGGUGGCGAAGGCGGCCAACUGGACCAUUACUGACGCUGAGGCGCGAAAGCGUGGGGAGCAAACAGGAUUAGAUACCCUGGUAGUCCACGCCGUAACGAUGAAUGCCG